CGAAACGUCAGCCAUCUUAACAAUUGCAAACAAGGUGCAAGACAUUUUUGCUGCCGCGCAGUUUUGGGCCAAAAAGUCACCGAAAACCAGCAAAAACGGUCGGAAUUAGCCAGGAUUACUGAACGGGACCAAGGUAGAAGUCGUUGAAAUGCAGUUGCCCCGUCAAAAUCGGUUCCCGCUUCCAACCUGCUUCGUCGGUGACUACCUCCAGGAUUACACUACUCUGACCGGCAGGCACGCCUGACCUACAUGGCUGCCGCGUUGAACCCGGAACAACGAUUGCAGCAUAGAAACCAACCACCUCUUCCGCCACAAACGGGGGUCUGCCAGCAAGAAGAGAACUAUGAAGAGGGCAAACCCGGAAGACACGAAGCUGGUAUGUACCGGAUUGUCGGGACAGGACAACAGCAACGCGUAGGUGCUAGUCGAGAAUGUGUUUUGUGCCAUGGCAUCCUGAUGAGAAGAAAAUUGCUUAAAGGAAAUCGUAGAUUUGUGUGAAAUUUUCUCGGUGGAGUAAUUGAGGUUAUGAUCGAGGAAAUGCGUCAUUGCGGAAGUGCGUCGUUGUAAUCUUGUGAAUUGUAAUCGUAAGUCUGAAUAUGAAAAAAAAUAAGCCUAAUAAAGUUGUUUUGGAAACCUU
Molecule: long non-coding RNA, 637 nt
Organism: Culex quinquefasciatus (southern house mosquito)
Lineage: Eukaryota; Metazoa; Arthropoda; Insecta; Diptera; Culicidae
Exons: 2
Source: RefSeq, a predicted model, not a curated record